CUUUGCUUCCUGAACGCCAAUGCAGUGAGACCCUCAUCCUCCUACUCCUGCUACCCUGCCUUCUCCACCAUGAUGGACCAUAACCCCUUGGAAUUGUGGUGGCCCAGGAUGUGGAAAUACAUGCAAGCUGGACCCUAGUUGUCUUGGGAACAGAAGCCAUUGAGAGGGAACGGACACUGA
This is a long non-coding RNA of Nannospalax galili (Upper Galilee mountains blind mole rat), 180 nucleotides long. RefSeq lists it as uncharacterized. The transcript is spliced from 3 exons. Lineage: Eukaryota; Metazoa; Chordata; Mammalia; Rodentia; Spalacidae. The record is from RefSeq and is a predicted model, not a curated record.